CGACCUGAGAGGGUGAUCGGCCACACUGGAACUGAGACACGGUCCAGACUCCUACGGGAGGCAGCAGUAGGGGAAUACUUCCGUCCGAACUAGGUACGGGAAACGGUAACGUUCGUACGGGAACGGGACGAACCGAACCCGGCCCGGUCGGUAGGUAGGUAGUAGUAAGGGUUUUAACGGGGUUUACGGUACGUUAAAACCGUUAAACCUUCGUUUAGUUUAAGGGUAAAGGGAAACGAAAACUAAGUUGGUUAAGGUUAAACGUUACGUUGGUCGACCAACUACUUCGUACGGGUAACCGUUAACUACUACGAAAGAACCGACCGACGUAACUAACGUACGUCGACGGUACGGUACGACGGUAACGUUAACGUACGGUAGGGUCGAACGACGGUUACGUUACCGGUAACGGUUAAUUUAGGGUCGGGUAAAACGGUAACGGCCGGCCGGUACGGGUACGGGGUUUUUAACGGUUUUACGUCGUAGUAGUUGGUAAAGGAACCCGAACCGGAACGGACCAACCGAACGGGGAAGGGUAAGGUAGG
RNAcentral lists this ribosomal RNA (545 nucleotides) under uncultured Staphylococcus sp. RNAcentral describes it as "partial 16S ribosomal RNA". The stretch from base 1 to 71 matches the Rfam family "Bacterial small subunit ribosomal RNA", at positions 288 to 358 of the family's 1533-position model. The record is from RNAcentral. Lineage: Bacteria; Bacillati; Bacillota; Bacilli; Caryophanales; Staphylococcaceae.